This 337-nucleotide ribosomal RNA is filed under the name Salmonella enterica subsp. enterica serovar 1,4,[5],12:i:-. Its description in RNAcentral is "bacterial SSU rRNA". It matches the Rfam family "Bacterial small subunit ribosomal RNA", at positions 1 to 340 of the family's 1533-position model. The record is from RNAcentral. Lineage: Bacteria; Pseudomonadati; Pseudomonadota; Gammaproteobacteria; Enterobacterales; Enterobacteriaceae. RNAcentral also lists the same sequence under 1 other name.
AAACUGAAGAGUUUGAUCCUGGCUCAGAUUGAACGCUAGCGGGAUGCCUUACACAUGCAAGUCGAACGGCAGCACGGACUUCGGUCUGGUGGCGAGUGGCGAACGGGUGAGUAAUGUAUCGGAACGUGCCCAGUAGCGGGGGAUAACUACGCGAAAGCGUAGCUAAUACCGCAUACGCCCUACGGGGGAAAGCAGGGGAUCGUAAGACCUUGCACUAUUGGAGCGGCCGAUAUCGGAUUAGCUAGUUGGUGGGGUAACGGCUCACCAAGGCGACGAUCCGUAGCUGGUUUGAGAGGACGACCAGCCACACUGGGACUGAGACACGGCCCAGACUCCU